RNAcentral lists this ribosomal RNA (363 nucleotides) under uncultured eukaryote. Its description in RNAcentral is "partial 18S ribosomal RNA". It matches the Rfam family "Eukaryotic small subunit ribosomal RNA", at positions 592 to 976 of the family's 1831-position model. The record is from RNAcentral.
CAGUAGCGUAUAUUAAAGUUGUUGCAGUUAAAAAGUUCGUAGUUGAAUUUCUGCGUAGUGUACAGUUGAUCUUCGGAUCGGCUCGCAUUGCGCAUCCAUCUGAACAGCAGUUCAUGUCAUUGAUUUGGCGGUUCUGUGAUCAGAUACUUUACCUUGAGAAAAAUAGAGUGUUCCAAGCAGGCGCUCGCCUGAAUAAUAAAGCAUGGAAUAAUACAAAAGGACUGAGUUCUAUUGGUGCAUAGACCUUAGUAAUGAUUAAUAGGGACAGUUGGGGGCAUUCGUAUUUAAUUGUCAGAGGUGAAAUUCUUUGAUUUAUUAAAGACGAACCUAUGCGAAAGCAUUUGCCAAGGAUGUUUUCAUUAA